RNAcentral lists this ribosomal RNA (443 nucleotides) under uncultured bacterium. RNAcentral describes it as "partial 16S ribosomal RNA". It matches the Rfam family "Bacterial small subunit ribosomal RNA", at positions 338 to 795 of the family's 1533-position model. The record is from RNAcentral.
CCUACGGGAGGCAGCAGUGGGGAAUAUUGGGCAAUGGGCGCAAGCCUGACCCAGCAACGCCGCGUGAAGGAAGAAGGCCCUCGGGUGGUAAACUUCUUUUAUCAAGGACGAAACAAAUGACGGUACUUGAUGAAUAAGCCACCGCUAACUACGUGCCAGCAGCCGCGGUAGUACGUAGGUGGCAAGCGUUAUGCGGUUUUACUGGGUGUAAGGGGUGUGUAGGCGGGACUGAAAGUCAGAUGUGAAAACCAUGGGCUCAAGGCAUGGCCUGCAUUUGAUACUGUAGUUCUUGAGUGUUGGAGAGGCAGGAGGAAUGCCGUGUGUAGCGGUGAAAUGCGUAGAUAUACGGAGGAACACCAGUGGCGAAGGCAGCCUGCUGGACAAUAACUGACGCUGAGGCGCGAAAGCGUGGGGAGCAAACAGGAUUAGAUACCCGAGUAGUC